CCUACGGGAGGCAGCAGUUAGGAAUUUUGGGCAAUGGGCGAAAGCCUGACCCAGCAACGCCGCGUGGGUGACGAAGGCCUUCGGGUUGUAAAGCCCUUUUCUGAGGGAAGAUGAUGACGGUACCUCAGGAAUAAGCACCGGCUAACUACGUGCCAGCAGCCGCGGUAAUACGUAGGGUGCAAGCGUUGCCCGGAUUUAUUGGGCGUAAAGGGCGCGCAGGCGGCUACGCACGUCCGUUGUGAAAUCGCUCGGCUCAACUGGGCGGGGUCAGCGGAUACGGCGUAGCUGGAGCAAGCUAGGGGGCAAUGGAAUUCCCGGUGUAGUGGUGGAAUGCGUAGAUAUCGGGAGGAACACCAGUGGCGAAGGCGGUUGCCUGGAGCUUUGCUGACGCUGAGGCGCGAAAGCGUGGGGAGCGAUCCGGAUUAGAUACCCGGGUAGUCCACGCCGUAAACGAUGUCGACUAGGUGUCGGGGGUAUCGACCCCCUCGGCGCCGCAGCACGACAUAGUACGACCGCCGUCGGGACGUACGGCCGCGACGGACGUAAACUACAAAGAAGUAGACGGCGUGAGACGUGCCGAACGGACGACACGAGGGAGGAGG
Molecule: ribosomal RNA, 602 nt
Filed under: uncultured bacterium
Lineage: Bacteria
Description: bacterial SSU rRNA
Rfam family: Bacterial small subunit ribosomal RNA (bases 1-517)
Source: RNAcentral